AGAGUUUGAUCCUGGCUCAGGAUGAACGCUGGCUGUGUGCCUAAUACAUGCAUGUUGAACGAAGCUAAAAGUGCUUGCACUUUAAGACUUAGUAGCGAAUGGGUGAGUAACACGUACUUAACCUACCCCCAAGUUUGGGAUAACGUUUGGAAACGAACGCUAAUACCGAAUACGUAUUUUUAUCGCAUGAUAGAAAUAUAAAAGGAGCUUCGGCUUCACUAGGGGAUGGGAGUGCGCUACAUUAGUUAGUUGGUAGGGUAAUGGCCUACCAAGACUAUGAUGUAUAGCGGGGCCGAGAGGCUGAUCCGCCACACUGGGACUGAGAUACGGCCCAGACUCCUACGGGAGGCAGCAGUAGGGAAUUUUCCACAAUGAACGAAAGUUUGAUGGAGCGACACAGCGUGCAGGAUGAAGGUCUUCGGAUCGUAAACUGCUGUUAUAAGAGAAGAAAAAAUUUGGGAGGUAAUGCCCAAAUCUUGACGGUACCUUAUCAGAAAGCGACGGCUAACUAUGUGCCAGCAGCCGCGGUAAU
This 532-nucleotide ribosomal RNA is filed under the name uncultured bacterium. RNAcentral's name for it is "bacterial SSU rRNA". It matches the Rfam family "Bacterial small subunit ribosomal RNA", at positions 8 to 524 of the family's 1533-position model. The record is from RNAcentral.